Long non-coding RNA from Chinchilla lanigera (long-tailed chinchilla), 483 nucleotides. RefSeq lists it as uncharacterized. Lineage: Eukaryota; Metazoa; Chordata; Mammalia; Rodentia; Chinchillidae. The record is from RefSeq and is a predicted model, not a curated record. The transcript is spliced from 5 exons.
UGAACUCACGACCUCACGCUUGCUAGGCAGGCGCUGUGCCACUGAGCUAAAUCCCCAGCCCCAACUUCUGGAUAAGGAUGAGUGAGCAGCAGUGAAAUGUUCUACACACAGUCUUCGUUUCAAAGGGGGCAGAGUCUGCUAUGUGGUCCAGGUUGAACCUGAGCUGUAAACCUGCAAUCCCACCACCAGGCUGCAAAGUAACUGGAAUUAUGCAUGUGGGACUGUAUUGAAUAAAACAUUUUGUUUCUGCUAACUAUGAAGUAUAUCAGAGGGUACCAUUUAAGUCGACAUCCUGACUUUGUUCUAGACCGCUCAAUACAAGAUCAUUGUUUCUUCAGUCACUGUCAGAAGAACCCAAAUUAUUUACACACAAGAUGAUGGAUUAAUUCUCAACUGGAAUCCAUCGGUGUCUAGUAUCACACAGUCCUCAAGUUGUUUGCUAUUUUCAGCCCAGCGACUAAAAUGAAGACGUUUCCCAUCUGA